AACGAACGCUGGCGGCAUGCCUAACACAUGCAAGUCGAACGAUCCCUUCGGGGAUAGUGGCGCACGGGUGCGUAACGCGUGGGAACCUGCCCUUAGGUUCGGAAUAACUCAGAGAAAUUUGAGCUAAUACCGGAUAAUGUCUUCGGACCAAAGAUUUAUCGCCCUUGGAUGGGCCCGCGUUGGAUUAGCUAGUUGGUGGGGUAAAGGCCUACCAAGGCGACGAUCCAUAGCUGGUCUGAGAGGAUGAUCAGCCACACUGGGACUGAGACACGGCCCAGACUCCUACGGGAGGCAGCAGUGGGGAAUAUUGGACAAUGGGCGAAAGCCUGAUCCAGCAAUGCCGCGUGAGUGAUGAAGGCCUUAGGGUUGUAAAGCUCUUUUACCCGGGAUGAUAAUGACAGUACCGGGAGAAUAAGCCCCGGCUAACUCCGUG
RNAcentral lists this ribosomal RNA (433 nucleotides) under uncultured bacterium. Its description in RNAcentral is "partial 16S ribosomal RNA". It matches the Rfam family "Bacterial small subunit ribosomal RNA", at positions 29 to 507 of the family's 1533-position model. The record is from RNAcentral.